RNAcentral lists this long non-coding RNA (899 nucleotides) under Ananas comosus (pineapple). RNAcentral's name for it is "long non-coding RNA (ACOM_LNC028329)". Lineage: Eukaryota; Viridiplantae; Streptophyta; Magnoliopsida; Poales; Bromeliaceae. The record is from RNAcentral.
CAGUAGUGAGCGAACUCUGGUUUGCUUUUAGAGCUAGGCUUAGUUUGGUAUUGAAGCCUAUUUGACGCUAUUAGAUAAAAUGAAGUUAGGAUAAAAACAUAUAGAGAUAUACUUCUGUGUUCUCCGCGCGAUAUGUGAAACGCAAUAUUACGUACAUAAACAAAUACGAUAUUUUCUUUGUACUUUUUUAUCGCAUGUAACGCAACCUCCCUCUAAUUCCAAACGAAGCCCUAAUCGGUUUGGGAAACAGUGGUUUCGGCCGAUCACUCGAUUUGGUUUGGUUGUUGAAGUUUCUAUCAAACCAAAUUAGAGACUUAAACCGAAGUGAAUUGUAUAGAGGAUAACNUAAAUUGGUAUAUGUAGAAACUCUAUUUCUUAUCUAUGGUAAUUAGUAGAUAUAUAGGAAUGAAUCAUUAAAUUCUCUUAUUAUUUAAUUAAAUCUUAAAUAUAUAUAUAUAUAUAUAGAGAGAGAGAGAGUUGAGCUAAGAUACUAAUGGUAGGAAAAGGACUUCAUUGCUAUCGAUUUGUUUUUAAUGAUGGAGUCUCCAAAUCGACCAUCGAUACUGUUGAGUAUGAUCUACAUUACUUGCAGUAUCUAAAUAUUAAAUUUCAAAUAUUUUCGACAUCAUUGAUUUAAUGAUUAGAGGGUUACAAAAAUUAUAAUUUUAAUAACCGAUACGAGAGAUUUGCUCGUUUAACAGUGUAAACAAAUCUAAAUCAAUUGAAUUUUGUUUAAUUUUUUUAAAACUAUUUAAAUAAGAUCUAUACUUUUAAUCUUGAUUAUAAAAAUUCUAUCAUCAUUUUUUGAAGGAUAUAUUUUUAUUCGUUCAUUUUGUGAUGCACAAGAUAACAAUAUCGAAAAAAUAUAAAAUUUAAUUUCUAGAUAUUGUAAGUAGUGU